Molecule: long non-coding RNA, 759 nt
Filed under: Malus domestica (apple)
Lineage: Eukaryota; Viridiplantae; Streptophyta; Magnoliopsida; Rosales; Rosaceae
Description: long non-coding RNA (MDOM_LNC015240)
Source: RNAcentral
GAGUGUACCUGUAAAAAAUCAUCAAAAUUGGAGUUAAAAUAACCGUUAAAUUGUGAUUUUUUGUUUUAUAAUCGUCGAAAAGUUUUGUCCCGUUACUUGAUCUCUGAAUGUUUGUUUUUUGCAAUUUUUGGCGUAUGCGAUCUCGAAGUAUAUACAAACAUGUUUGACGGUUGGAUCAUUGAAACUAGUUUCGUAGAAUGCGUGUAUCUCAUCAAAACAAUAGAUUCACUAACACUUAAAAGUUUAUUCAUACUUUCAUUAAGUAUAACAUAAGAUUUUUUUGUAUCCACUAGUGUAAAUAUUUUAAAUUGAAGAUCGAAUUCAAUCAUUGUAUUCAUAUAGGGUCAAGGAGUGUAGCUGCAAAAAAUCAUCAAAAUCGGAGUUAAAAUAACCGUUAAAUCGUAUUUUUCUUUUUAUAAUCGUCGAAAAGUUUUGUCCCGUUCCUUGAUCUCUGAAUGUUUUUAUUGUUUGCAAUUUUUGACGUAUGCGAUCUCGAAGUAUAUACAAACAUGUUUAAUGGUUGGAUCAUUGAAACUAGUUUCGUAGAAUGAGUAUCCCAUCAAAACAAUAGAUUCACUAAUACUUAAGAGUUUAUUUAUACUUUCAUUAAGUAUAACAUAAAAUUUUGUGGUAUCCACUAGUGUAAAUAUUUUAAAUUGAAGAUCGAAUUCAUUCAUGAUAUUCAUAUAGGGUCAAGGAGUGUACCUGUAAAAAAUCAUCAAAAUCGGAGUUAAAAUAACCGUUAAAUCGUGAAUUUUC